UGGAUGUUGGAGAAAAAGUGCUUCUUAAAUUACAUCCAUAUUGUUAACAAAUUGUCUCUUCGCAAGUCAACUUAAGACUCACUCCAUAGUAUUAUGGACCAUUUGUCGUCAUUCGGAAAAUUGGCAUUGUAGCAUCUAGCCUCUAGUUACCUUGAUCCUCCAAAAUCCAUCUUGUGUUUCACAUUUUGCAACUUCGGAAGUGGCAGGUGAUCAUCCUCUCCUCUCUGCCCUGCCACCAGAAUUAGUAGUGGAUGACCCUAUUCCGACACUCCCCGAAGCAAUUCUUAACAUGCAAG
Molecule: unclassified non-coding RNA, 296 nt
Filed under: Hevea brasiliensis (rubber tree)
Lineage: Eukaryota; Viridiplantae; Streptophyta; Magnoliopsida; Malpighiales; Euphorbiaceae
Source: RNAcentral